GGGGGCGGGGCCCCGGGGCGCGCGCACGCGGGGCGCGCGCGGGGACCCCAGAGCCGAGGGCGUGAGGCGGCGCCGCGGGGGCGGGCUGAGGGGCUCCGGUACCUGCAGCUGGGCGCGCCGCCAGUUCCUGUUCUGGGGAAUGCCAAGGGAGAAACCCUCACUGCUGAGUUGCCUGCACACCUAACAGGCCUCCGGUUAGAGCUGCUUCACAAGUUGCUGGCCUGUUUGCAAUUCCAGCUGCUGUUUUAGAAACAUUUGUCUGUUGUGAGCUUGGAGUCUAGCAAGAAAAAGUGGGUUGUUCUUCAGAGAACUUAAAAGGCAGUUGGGCUUUGUGCUGCUUGCAUACUCCGCUUGCUGGAAUCUUUCUGCUGAGAAAAUUCCAAGCCACAUUUUAGGCAUCAAACAUCUUUAAUCUUGGUGCUGAGAAGGAUGCAUGCCAUCAGAGAUGGAUCUGUUUCUAUGCAGCUUGCUACUGAAAUUUCAAACUUCUGCCAUGAAAAAAUCAGCUAUAAAUAGCUCUGAAUGAUAGAAGCUCUUCAGUGCAUGCCUCGUGGGUUAAUUACUUGAGCUCUCACAGAAGGAAUCCUGGCUUCUGGUGUAGCAGCUUGUCGCAAGACGUGGUACGAAAUCGCACAUGAUUUUGAGGCUUGUAGCCUGUGAAUGUGUGUCACCCUGGAAACCGUUUGCACCUGCAAGCAUGAGUCAUAAGAGCUGAGGAAUUGCGGGGACUGUGGAGGAAUGUUUGGAUUCCCAUCUUUCCAGAAUGGACAACUUCUUCCUACAGGAAUGCAGGUCAACACAUCACAGAGUCACAGAAAGGUUGAGACUGGGAGGGACCUCUGGAGGCCACCUGGUCCAGCCCUUCUUCCUGCUGAGGCAUUCUGAAGGAUUUUGAAGAUCUCCAAGGAUCUCCAUCAACUCCAGACCUCCUGUGGGCAACCUGUGUCAGUGCUCUGCCUCCCGUGCAGCACAGAAGUACUUCCUGGUGUUCAGAGGGAACCUCCUGUCUUCCAGUUUGUGCCCAUUCCCUCCUCUCCUGGCACUGGGCACCAGUGAAAAGAGCCUGGCUUCAUCUUCUUUGCAUUCUCCCUUCAGAAGAUUCAAGAGUCAAGAGGAUGUAACCAACCACCAGCAUUAAAAUAAGGACCACGUCUCCCACAGAUGUGACAUGAAAAGGGUGGAAAAGAACAGGGAACCACUUAGCCAGAUGUUGAGUCAGCCUGUUUGGAGGCAUCGCCUGUGAUGAGUGAUUUCCAGGAACACUGACUCAGUGAAGUCAUGGAACAAUAAUGAAGGUUAGCUAUCAAAGCAAACACCCAGUAUUAUUUCUUUAUUGCUGGGAAAACCUUGUAACAAUCUGAAACACCGGUAUUUUCAGAACAAACAAGAAAUGCAACCUUAUAUGCAGACAUGAAGUCUUGCAUAUUUCUGUGACAUUAUUCUUGCUGCAAUGUGCUGUGCUCUGCUCUGAGUCCCUGAGACUGAAGAACAAUGCUUGCUCACCCGCUCUCUGCUGUUUGGACGUGGUCUUAUGUGGGCGGCUGCCAAGCCUUGCGGAUUGUGACAAUGCAGAGAGUGCGCUGUAAGAUGCCCUUUCCAUGAAACAAUGCUGAAAGAACACAAGUUAUUCAGUGGAUGAGAAGUAAGCUUGGUAUUCCUCUCUGAUUGUUAAUGAUGUAACUGUCAUGUAUUGACUACAAUAAGCAUGUGCAGGACUCUGCAGAUGAAUGCAGUUGGAGAAGAAGACAGGAUAAAACUUACAAAAGGAUUUCAUGGUAGAUUCUGAAGAAAGAAAAAUGGCCUGAACUGAAGAGAUACUAAUUCCUACUGUACUUUCAACUACCACUGCCAUUUAUGGAAGCUGAUACUUAGAACUGAUGUUGAAAAACAGAGUUCCUAAGAGAAGGAAAAAAUAUGUCUUGUAUCUCCCAGGGAUGUGUAUACACCCACUAUCAGGGUGCCUGAAUUCAUCCAUAAAUGGUCAUGUUUCUGCUGAAAGGCGUACAAGUGAGAGCAUUCUGUUACAUUGGGCCUCACUCCUGAAGCUCCAUUAGACUGCAGUAUCAGCUUGAAUGUCUAACAUGUCUGUGAGGGUACCUACUAAUGAAUGUGAAGUCAAGCACAAUUUUGGAAUAAAACGAGGUUUCUUUUUAUGAUCGUUCUGGCUGCAAGGUUCAGCAAGCUUGGCAGGGCUAAAGUGUGGAAAGUCUGUCCAUGGGAUAUCUUGAGAUCUGAGACGCCAACAGCUAUUCACUCUUCAUCUGAUACCUGUCUGGGGAACAGCACGUGAAAGCAGACCAGAGCUGUUAAGGUAAGAGUGUGAAAUGCCCCAGCAGAGAGCAGGUGGUUGUUCAGUAAGGGAAAUGCAUUGAAAAUAGACAUGUCCAAAUGACAACGUGGUGAGCUUUGCUCCUCACCCAGCCAUGUCCUGUCUGUAAUGUGGUAAGUGUGAAGCCUCCUUUGAUGAAUUAGCACCUGCUAUGCCUGUCAAAGAGGCCACAGCAAGGUGCGGUUAGAGGGCUGAGGCAGAAAGGCAUGCUCCUUCCUCUCCUUCCACAGACACAGCUGCAUGGAGCAUUUCAGCCCAUUACAGUGGCACCCAAAUCCCUGCUAACCCUGCCUUGAGCAGGCCCAGUCCACUAGCACAGGCUGCAACAGCCAAAGCACAUUUUCAGAAACUGCUCUUUGCUGCCUCCUGUCUAAAUACUGAAUCUUCAUGAACUCAGACUCCAAGUUAUGUCAAGCCGGGAUGCUUGUGUGUGAAUCUGGGUGAAUGCUUAAGAUAUGUAAAUCCAGGACCACACUAAGGUGACAGUAUUCAUGAUCUGAGUCUUGGUAUACUGUUGACAAUCUGAUCUCAGCAUCUGUUGUGUGAGAUGAUUGGUAUAGCUUGGCUUCACGUCUAGCGUUAGGCUGAGCAGAAAGAUGAACAUACUGUGUGGAUUAAGGUAAAGCCAAGAACAAGAUUUCCAUUAAUGUCACUGGAAGUAGGUUUGUCCGCAGCAUGAUCAUGCACAUGUGAAGUUUCUCCCUGUGAAUCGUUUAUUCUUUUCCUUCCAUACACUCUGCAGUUUGGUGUUGUUGUGUUUCACUGUGAUUUAUAUGAAAAAUGUCUGCCAUCACACCAUUCACAGUCUCUGGACAUUGCUCUUACUUCAUGUCACUGUCAUCUGAGUAAUGUGAGAUCACUUCCAGUAUGGACCAAGACGAAUGAAAAGUCUUUGAAGUUUAAUUACUUAUCUGUCUCUCCAGAAUGUAGAGUAAGUAACUUUAAGUACACUGAGUAUGAAUAAACAUAUUCAUGGAACAAUAGAAGAAACAGGAAAAAAAAAUGCUGUUAGAGAAAAUAUGAUUAAAUUGGAAGAAAAAUGGAUGAUGCCCACUUUGAAUAAGAACUUUUGGAUCUAUAGUGAUUUGUAGUUUAAAAUUCACACAAUUUCAGUGUAACAUAUAGAAUCAUAUCUUAUAGAAUCUUAGAAUUUUGUAGAUUUUCAUAACUUACAGAAUCAUAUUGAGGACCUAGUUGUGGGCUUUAAGAAGUUCUGUGAAUAACAGCAGGAGCAACUCCGUUCAUGUCCAAAACUAAUCACAGGGAACUUUAAAAAAAAUAAUAAUAAAUUGUAAGCUUAAAUUGUGAGGUUUUGUCUGUUUGUUUGUUUUUAUUUGGUUGGUUGGCAUAGUUUUUGUUUGUUUGUUUUAUAUGUGGACAGGAACUCUUUUGUAAAGUGUUCCUGUCAAUGUCCAGAGGGACCUUAAGAAGGCCAGUCCACUUUCAGAAUAAAGAAUAAACAAAAGAAUUUACCAAAAUCUUGAAACUAAGCAUCCUUGAGUCUCAGAUAAGUUAUUUUGGUUUCUUCAAUUUUAUCUUGUCAAAAGUAGUGAGAUAAUUGGUGUCAAUAUCAGUGAUUUGAACUGACCAUCUCAGCUUCAGAUUUCAGCAUUUUAUGAAGGGAAAAAAGAAAAACUUGCUGCUAUAUUGUGGUUUCCAGAAUUCUUAAAGACGUUUUUGAGAUACUCACCAAGUUUUCCCAGCUGUACACUGGGGAGGAUGAAUCCUACAGCAGUAGCUAUUUCAACCCACUCCAUGUUCAAUUUUGUUUCCUGAUCCCAGCAGAGCUGGGGUUCAAGCUGAACUUUUAGAAGUAGAAUUUGGCUGGGUUAUAUAGUAACCACAACAAGUACAUUCAUCUCUUACUAAGUAUUUUCAUAUUUAAAAUGAAAAUUUUAGUAAUGGUUUUUAAAGUGAAAUUAAUGUUUCUGUAGUUUAAUUGUUUCAUAGGGGAAAAAACAAAACAACAACAACAACAACAACAACAACAACAAAAACACAAUGGCAGCAAAGAAAAGACCUAGAAACUUGCCCUUGCAGGGGCAAGUACUUUUGCCUUUUACCAGAUUUUCAGUUAGAAGAUUAUAUAUGCUGUUCCACUGGAAGUCAGAGAUGUUGAUCAUGUCAAUGAAAUCUCACAGCUUCCGCGUGUUGCUGAGCACGAUCUUAGAUAUCAUCAGCAAAGAAACUGAGCUCCUCCCAAAAAGAGUUUAUUACAGAAAAUGCUGACCAGGAUUAUAUCCCCAUAUGCAUCUCUUGAAAGGACUGUAGAUGCAUUUGCAGAUGUGGAUGGACUGCAGAACAAUUCUAAAGUGCUGAUUUUGUAAGAUGGCAGUCAUUUCCAGAGAGCUCGUGAUGUUGCAAACACAGAAUUAUGACUUGACGCCUGAAUUAAGCAAUAGAAGAACCUGGAUUCAAGGGGUUAAGAAGUCUGCUUAGGAACCACAGAAAACCAAAGCUGUAAUAAUAUGCAAAGUCCUGAAUCAUGCAUCAAAAAGAAGUGAUUGGCAGUACUCUGAGUGCAAUUUGGAUACUGAUAAGUGGCUGUGGAUGGGGAAACUCCUGCAGAUCUGGUGCCUACAUGCUCUCCCUUUUCCUAGUAGUCCAUAAUUCUUCUGCAUUAGCAGCCAGUUUUCCUUGGUGGUGGUUGAUAACAGCCGCAGGAGUUAUGAAGCAAACCAAAACAGUGUUUUGCAACACUUAAAUGCAGUACUUUGCCCAUAUCUGAAGAGCUUACUCACUGGCCGGCCACGCUCAAAGGAUGCCGCAGCUCCAUCCCACAGACUAGCGUUGCUUCCCUUCUCAUCUCCUACUUCCCGAGUGGGUGUCUGCAGAGUGCCGUGAUGGCAUCGAUCUGUUUUGACCAUACCUAUGUCAAUCUGUUCUUCCAGCACCUUAGCAGGCGCCAGCCUUUAGUAGCUAUUUCAAACUACUGCCACUGUGAACUGUGGAAGCAUACAAAAAGUGCAACGGGUCCAAGCACAAUGCAGCAGUAGGCAGGCUGAGGAAGAGCACGUGAAAAGCACACAAGGAGAGCACUGCAGCCUGCACAAGCCUGUAGAGGAGAAAAUGGUGGAAAAACACGGACAGUACCCCAAGACCAUAUAUUUGAAGAAACUGAAGAGAAUACUGGCA
This is a non-coding RNA of Anas platyrhynchos (mallard), 5464 nucleotides long. NCBI's taxonomy places the organism in Eukaryota, Metazoa, Chordata, Aves, Anseriformes, Anatidae. The record is from RefSeq and is a predicted model, not a curated record.